This 462-nucleotide ribosomal RNA is filed under the name uncultured bacterium. RNAcentral's name for it is "partial 16S ribosomal RNA". It matches the Rfam family "Bacterial small subunit ribosomal RNA", at positions 28 to 507 of the family's 1533-position model. The record is from RNAcentral.
GAUGAACGCUGACAGAAUGCUUAACACAUGCAAGUCAUUGGCGAAGCUGCGCUUGCGCAGUCUAGCCAAGGCGGACGGGUGAGUAACGCGUAAGGAACUUGCUCUGCAGACCGGGAUAACAGACGGAAACGACUGAUAACACCUGGUAUUGUCAGGCUGGCGCAUGCCGGCCUGAUGAAAGGAGAGGCUGCAGGAGAGCCUUGCGUCCUAUUAGCUAGUUGGUGGGGUAACGGCACACCAAGGCGAUGAGAGGUAGCCGGCCUGAGAGUGUGAAGGGCCAUUAGGGGACUGAUAUACGGCCCUUACUCCUGCGGGGGGCAGCAGGGGGGAAUAGUGGACAGGGGGGACAACCCUUAUCCAGCAAUUCUGUGUGCACUAAGAAGGUUUUCGGAGUGUAAAGUGCUUGCAGCAGAGAAAAAGAAAGUGACGGUACUGGCAAAAGAAGCAACGGCUAAAUACGUG